RNAcentral lists this ribosomal RNA (250 nucleotides) under uncultured bacterium. RNAcentral's name for it is "partial 16S ribosomal RNA". It matches the Rfam family "Bacterial small subunit ribosomal RNA", at positions 524 to 771 of the family's 1533-position model. The record is from RNAcentral.
UACGUAGGGUGCGAGCGUUAAUCGGAAUUACUGGGCGUAAAGCGUGCGCAGGCGGUUCGUUGUGUCCGUCGUGAAAGCCCCGGGCUUAAACCUGGGAACUGCGAUGGAAACUAGCGAGCUGGAGUGUGGCAGAGGGGGGGUGGAAUUCCGCGUGUAGCAGUGAAAUGCGUAGAGAUGCGGAGGAACACCGAUGGCGAAGGCAGCCCCCUGGGCUAACACUGACGCUCAGGCACGAAAGCGUGGGGAGCAA